RNAcentral lists this transfer RNA (75 nucleotides) under Acidobacteriota bacterium. Its description in RNAcentral is "Acidobacteria bacterium tRNA-Leu". It matches the Rfam family "tRNA". From Rfam's summary of the family: Transfer RNA (tRNA) molecules are approximately 80 nucleotides in length. Their secondary structure includes four short double-helical elements and three loops (D, anti-codon, and T loops). The record is from RNAcentral. RNAcentral also lists the same sequence under 1 other name. Lineage: Bacteria; Pseudomonadati; Acidobacteriota.
GCCGAUGUGGCCCAACUUGGUAGAGGCGUUCGCCUUAAAAGCGAAAAGUUGAGAGUUCGAAUCUCUCCGUCGGCA